Molecule: ribosomal RNA, 433 nt
Filed under: uncultured bacterium
Lineage: Bacteria
Description: partial 16S ribosomal RNA
Rfam family: Bacterial small subunit ribosomal RNA
Source: RNAcentral
AACGAACGCUGGCGGCAGGCUUAACGCAUGCAAGUCGAACGCACCUUUCGGGGUGAGUGGCAGACGGGUGAGUAACGCGUGGGAAUCUACCCUUCUCUACGGGAUAGCUCCGGGAAACUGGAAUUAAUACCGUAUACGUCCUGAGGGAGAAAGAUUUAUCGGGGAAGGAUGAGCCCGCGUUGGAUUAGCUAGUUGGUGGGGUAAAGGCCUACCAAGGCGACGAUCCAUAGCUGGUCUAAGAGGAUGAUCAGCCACAUUGGGACUGAGACACGGCCCAAACUCCUACGGGAGGCAGCAGUGGGGAAUAUUGGACAAUGGGCGCAAGCCUGAUCCAGCCAUGCCGCGUGAGUGAUGAAGGCCCUAGGGUUGUAAAGCUCUUUCAGUGGGGACGAUAAUGACGGUACCCACAGAAGAAGCCCCGGCUAACUUCGUG